Molecule: non-coding RNA, 1240 nt
Organism: Drosophila suzukii
Lineage: Eukaryota; Metazoa; Arthropoda; Insecta; Diptera; Drosophilidae
Source: RefSeq, a predicted model, not a curated record
CUAUAGUUGGCCGCCAGCUGGCCAUUGUACGGAAUGAAAACACCCGUCUUCACCUUUCCGCCAUCUCUUUUGUUUUAUCAUAUCUCUCUUUUACCCACCUCGCUGGUGUGCGUAUGUGUGUGUGUGUGUGUGUGAGUGCGAGUGUGUGAGUGUUGGCUGUAAAUCUGGUUGUUAUUUUCUUGUACGCUACGCAGUUUGAAAAUCUCGAAAAGUCCAACAAAAGGCGAAGAAAUACCUGGAAAAAAGAUGGGCGAAGGGAGGGCCAUGCACAUAUGGCCAGUUUUCUGAGGGUGUAUUUAUAUAUUAACAGCCUGUUGUUUGUACACAAAGUCCACAAAAAGCCAAAAGACAAAUUCAUUACGGCAGUGGCGGUGGGCUGGUGAGGGGGAUGAUCACCAAAGGGGGGAGACGGCCAUUCGGUACUUUUUCGUAUGGUGAAAUUUACCGCUGCCAUGUUGUAUCUUUUUUUUUUCUGUUUUUUUUUUCUCGUGUGCUGGCACAUCAAAUGCGUUAAUUGACAACAACGAAAAGCCAAAUGUUCGAGUGCCUGCGUGAGCAGUUCAGUGUGAAAAUAGGCAACGUCCUGUGGCCUGAGGCCCCCCUUCAACAAAGUAAACCAACUCCCACCGCCACUGGCUUUUUAUUUUUGAGUUUUGUUUUGUGCGACGCGCUCAUUUGCGCCAUGCUCCACUUAACGUGCAACAAUUUUCCAUCUGCGACGUCGCCGUCAGGCGAACAACCUGCAUAUAUCAAUUGAAAUCGCUGAUUAAGGCGCAAAGCUCAUUGUUUUUGUCGCAAUUUGCAAUUGAAACGCUGGAGCUGAAAAAAAAAAAAAAAUAAAACCCUCGGGCUGGCAACUCUCUUGCCACCGUUAAUUUCGCUUUCGCGCGUUUACUGCGACAGGUGGCAACUUUGCUCGCCGGCUAACGGCACUUUUUAGUUUUCCCCAAAAAUAAAAGAUGGAAAACGGUGGAAAAUCGCUUACGUAACGGUUUGUGCGACAUUUAGCUUUCUUUGUCUGCUUAUCGGCUCAUUUACCCAGUUAUUUACUCAUUUAUUUAUCGCCAACCAACCAUCAGUUAAAGUGCAUUGCUUAUCUGCGUGGCCAACUUAUGUGCCGUGCACACUGUUCCCUUCUUUCGGUGUGAGAACAGGUGUAUUUUCCAGCAUUUAGCUUGGGGAAGAAAAUCUGCGGCCUUAUGACACUAGCUUAAAAUUCUAAUAACUAUCUGAAUUUAUU